GACGAACGCUGGCGGCGUGCUUAACACAUGCAAGUCGAACGGAAAGGCCCUGCUUGCAGGGUACUCGAGUGGCGAACGGGUGAGUAACACGCGGGUGAUCUGCCCUGCACUUCGGGAUAAGCCUGGGAAACUGGGUCUAAUACCGGAUAGGAGCCAUUCUUAGUGUGAUGGUUGGAAAGUUUUUUCGGUGUGGGAUGAGCUCGCGGGCUAUCAGCUUGUUGGUGGGGUAAUGGCCUACCAAGGCGGCGACGGGGAGCCGGCCUGGGAGGGUGGACGGCCACAUUGGGGCUGGGGUACGGCCCAGACUCCUACGGGGGGCAGCAGUGGGGAAUAUUGCACAAUGGGCGCGAGCCUGAUGCAGGGACGCCGCGGGGGGGAUGACGGCCUUCGGGUUGUAAACUCCUUUCGCUAGGGACGAAGCUUUUUGUGACGGUACCUAGAGAAGAAGCACCGGCUAACUACGUG
Molecule: ribosomal RNA, 465 nt
Filed under: uncultured bacterium
Lineage: Bacteria
Description: partial 16S ribosomal RNA
Rfam family: Bacterial small subunit ribosomal RNA
Source: RNAcentral